AAUAGAUACCCUGGUAGUCCACGCCGUAAACGAUGAGUGCUAAGUGUUAGGGGGUUUCCACCCCUUAGUGCUGCAGCUAACGCAUUAAGCACUCCGCCUGGGGAGUACGGUCGCAAGACUGAAACUCAAAGGAAUUGACGGGGGCCCGCACAAGCGGUGGAGCAUGUGGUUUAAUUCGAAGCAACGCGAAGAACCUUACCAGGUCUUGACAUCCCGAUGACCGCUCUAGAGAUAGAGCUUUCCCUUCGGGGACAGCGGUGACAGGUGGUGCAUGGUUGUCGUCAGCUCGUGUCGUGAGAUGUUGGGUUAAGUCCCGCAACGAGCGCAACCCUUGUUCUUAGUUGCCAUCAUUCAGUUGGGCACUCUAAGGAGACUGCCGCAGACAAUGCGGAGGAAGGUGGGGAUGACGUCAAAUCAUCAUGCCCCUUAUGACCUGGGCUACACACGUGCUACAAUGGACGGUACAAACGGUUGCGAAGUCGCGAGACGGAGCUAAUCCGAGAAAACCGUUCUCAGUUCGGAUUGC
This 526-nucleotide ribosomal RNA is filed under the name uncultured bacterium. RNAcentral describes it as "bacterial SSU rRNA". It matches the Rfam family "Bacterial small subunit ribosomal RNA", at positions 777 to 1301 of the family's 1533-position model. The record is from RNAcentral.